GCAGCUGUGGCCUACUGGUUAGCGCUUCGGAUUUGUAACCGGAGGGUUGUCGGUUCGAAACCCCAACCAGUAGGCA
RNAcentral lists this transfer RNA (76 nucleotides) under Alosa alosa (allis shad). RNAcentral's name for it is "tRNA-OTHER". The record is from RNAcentral. Lineage: Eukaryota; Metazoa; Chordata; Actinopteri; Clupeiformes; Clupeidae.